UCAUUGGGUUUAAAGGGUCCGUAGGUGGAUAAUUAAGUCAGAGGUGAAAUCUUGCAGCUCAACUGUAAAAUUGCCUUUGAUACUGGUUAUCUUGAGUUAUUAUGAAGUAGUUAGAAUAUGUAGUGUAGCGGUGAAAUGCAUAGAUAUUACAUAGAAUACCAAUUGCGAAGGCAGAUUACUAAUAAUCAACUGACACUGAUGGACGAAAGCGUGGGUAGCGAACAGGAUUAGAUACCCUGGUAGUCCACGCAGUAAACGAUGAUCACUAGAUAUUUGCGACAUACUGUAAGUGUCUUAGCGAAAGCGAUAAGUGAUCCACCUGGGGAGUACGGUCGCAAGAUUGAAACUCAAAGGAAUUGACGGGGGCCCGCACAAGCGGUGGAGCAUGUGGUUUAAUUCGAUGAUACGCGAGGAACCUUACCAGGGCUUAAAUGUAGAUUGACAGUUUGAGAUAGCUAUUUCUUCGGACCACUUACAAGGUGCUGCAUGGUU
Molecule: ribosomal RNA, 492 nt
Filed under: uncultured Flavobacteriaceae bacterium
Lineage: Bacteria; Pseudomonadati; Bacteroidota; Flavobacteriia; Flavobacteriales; Flavobacteriaceae
Description: bacterial SSU rRNA
Rfam family: Bacterial small subunit ribosomal RNA
Source: RNAcentral